RNAcentral lists this ribosomal RNA (602 nucleotides) under Wolbachia endosymbiont of Bemisia tabaci. RNAcentral's name for it is "bacterial SSU rRNA". It matches the Rfam family "Bacterial small subunit ribosomal RNA", at positions 218 to 840 of the family's 1533-position model. Lineage: Bacteria; Pseudomonadati; Pseudomonadota; Alphaproteobacteria; Rickettsiales; Anaplasmataceae. The record is from RNAcentral.
CUAUUAGAUGAGCCUAUAUUAGAUUAGCUAGUUGGUGGAGUAAUAGCCUACCAAGGCAAUGAUCUAUAGCUGAUCUGAGAGGAUGAUCAGCCACACUGGAACUGAGAUACGGUCCAGACUCCUACGGGAGGCAGCAGUGGGGAAUAUUGGACAAUGGGCGAAAGCCUGAUCCAGCCAUGCCGCAUGAGUGAAGAAGGCCUUUGGGUUGUAAAGCUCUUUUAGUGAGGAAGAUAAUGACGGUACUCACAGAAGAAGUCCUGGCUAACUCCGUGCCAGCAGCCGCGGUAAUACGGAGAGGGCUAGCGUUAUUCGGAAUUAUUGGGCGUAAAGGGCGCGUAGGCUGAUUAAUAAGUUAAAAGUGAAAUCCCGAGGCUUAACCUUGGAAUUGCUUUUAAAACUAUUAAUCUAGAGAUUGAAAGAGGAUAGAGGAAUUCCUGAUGUAGAGGUAAAAUUCGUAAAUAUUAGGAGGAACACCAGUGGCGAAGGCGUCUAUCUGGUUCAAAUCUGACGCUGAAGCGCGAAGGCGUGGGGAGCAAACAGGAUUAGAUACCCUGGUAGUCCACGCUGUAAACGAUGAAUGUUAAAUAUGGGAAGUUUACUUU